GGGUAUAGCUCACUGGUUGAGCAUGUGCUUAGCAUGCAUAAGGUCCUGGGUUCAAUACCCAGUAUUUCCA
Molecule: transfer RNA, 70 nt
Filed under: Camelus bactrianus (Bactrian camel)
Lineage: Eukaryota; Metazoa; Chordata; Mammalia; Artiodactyla; Camelidae
Also listed under: 2 other names
Rfam family: tRNA
About the family: Transfer RNA (tRNA) molecules are approximately 80 nucleotides in length. Their secondary structure includes four short double-helical elements and three loops (D, anti-codon, and T loops). Further hydrogen bonds mediate the characteristic L-shaped molecular structure. tRNAs have two regions of fundamental functional importance: the anti-codon, which is responsible for specific mRNA codon recognition, and the 3' end, to which the tRNAs corresponding amino acid is attached (by aminoacyl-tRNA synthetases). tRNAs cope with the degeneracy of the genetic code in two manners: having more than one tRNA (with a specific anti-codon) for a particular amino acid; and 'wobble' base-pairing, i.e. permitting non-standard base-pairing at the 3rd anti-codon position.
Source: Rfam by way of RNAcentral